RNAcentral lists this transfer RNA (86 nucleotides) under Amorphus orientalis. RNAcentral describes it as "tRNA-Leu". It matches the Rfam family "tRNA". Rfam says of the family: Transfer RNA (tRNA) molecules are approximately 80 nucleotides in length. Lineage: Bacteria; Pseudomonadati; Pseudomonadota; Alphaproteobacteria; Hyphomicrobiales; Amorphaceae. The record is from RNAcentral.
GCGGGCGUGGUGGAACCGGUAGACACACAGGACUUAAAAUCCUGAGGCCUCUGGCCGUGCGGGUUCGAGUCCCGCCGCCCGCACCA